UACAGGGGGUGCAAACGUUGCUCGGAAUCAUUGGGCGUAAAGCGCACGUAGGCGGUUCGUUAUGUCGGAUGUGAAAGCCCUUGGCUUAACCGAGGAAGUGCAUCCGAAACUGGCGAGCUAGAGUACUAAAGAGGAUCGCGGAAUUCCCGGUGUAGAGGUGAAAUUCGUAGAUAUCGGGAGGAACACCGGUGGCGAAGGCGGCGAUCUGGGUAGAUACUGACGCUGAGGUGCGAAAGCUAGGGGAGCAAACAGG
This 253-nucleotide ribosomal RNA is filed under the name uncultured bacterium. Its description in RNAcentral is "partial 16S ribosomal RNA". It matches the Rfam family "Bacterial small subunit ribosomal RNA", at positions 524 to 776 of the family's 1533-position model. The record is from RNAcentral.